GUUAUACCAAAAAAACGUAGAAGUCAUGAGAUGAAAAUGGCAUGCUGUCCAAGGAUUCCUAUUGUUAUCCCAGUAGCUCCAAGAAAAAAUAGCAUUAUUUCUAUAUUAACAUAAAUAAGCACAUAAGGGAGAAAAAGGCAAAUAAAGAGAGAUUUUGAGAUAAAAUAUGGCAAAAUAUUGUGCUGUCAGGGAUGCUUUAAGCUAUGCCUCCAAGGUUCUCAGGUGAAGCUUUCAUUUUUCCUUUAAUAUCAGGGUGCUAGGACGGAAAAGUUAUACAAAAUGGAUUUUAGGCCAGAUAAGCUGUCACUAAGUAUAAACAGACAAAACAGCAGACCAUGAGAACCAUGAUCAUGUUUACAGAGUUUUUAAAAAUAUAUUCUACAACAUUGCUUAAAAUAUCAUUUGAUUUAGAUUUAUUCCUUCCAUUUUCUGUCUGCAACAUUUUCCAACUAAGUUCCAUUAACUCAGC
Molecule: long non-coding RNA, 469 nt
Filed under: Marmota monax (woodchuck)
Lineage: Eukaryota; Metazoa; Chordata; Mammalia; Rodentia; Sciuridae
Source: RNAcentral